UACAGAGGUGGCGAGCGUUAUUCGGAAUUAUUGGGCGUAAAGGGCGCGUAGGCGGCUUGUUAAGUCCCGGGUGAAAUCCCUCGGCUCAACCGAGGAACUGCCUUGGAAACUGUCUGGCUUGAGGCCGGGAGAGGGUAGUGGAAUUCCCAGUGUAGCGGUGAAAUGCGUAGAUACUGGGAGGAACACCGGUGGCGAAGGCGGCUACCUGGACCGGUUCUGACGCUGAGGCGCGAAAGCGUGGGUAGCAAACAGG
This 253-nucleotide ribosomal RNA is filed under the name uncultured bacterium. RNAcentral's name for it is "partial 16S ribosomal RNA". It matches the Rfam family "Bacterial small subunit ribosomal RNA", at positions 524 to 776 of the family's 1533-position model. The record is from RNAcentral.